This 603-nucleotide ribosomal RNA is filed under the name uncultured Hypocreales. Its description in RNAcentral is "SSU rRNA". It matches the Rfam family "Eukaryotic small subunit ribosomal RNA", at positions 738 to 1343 of the family's 1831-position model. The record is from RNAcentral. Lineage: Eukaryota; Fungi; Ascomycota; Sordariomycetes; Hypocreales.
GGGAACCAGGACUUUUACUGUGAAAAAAUUAGAGUGCUCCAGGCAGGCCUAUGCUCGAAUACAUUAGCAUGGAAUAAUAGAAUAGGACGUGUGGUUCUAUUUUGUUGGUUUCUAGGACCGCCGUAAUGAUUAAUAGGGACAGUCGGGGGCAUCAGUAUUCAAUUGUCAGAGGUGAAAUUCUUGGAUUUAUUGAAGACUAACUACUGCGAAAGCAUUUGCCAAGGAUGUUUUCAUUAAUCAGGAACGAAAGUUAGGGGAUCGAAGACGAUCAGAUACCGUCGUAGUCUUAACCAUAAACUAUGCCGACUAGGGAUCGGACGGUGUUAUUUUUUGACCCGUUCGGCACCUUACGAGAAAUCAAAGUGCUUGGGCUCCAGGGGGAGUAUGGUCGCAAGGCUGAAACUUAAAGAAAUUGACGGAAGGGCACCACCAGGGGUGGAGCCUGCGGCUUAAUUUGACUCAACACGGGGAAACUCACCAGGUCCAGACACAAUGAGGAUUGACAGAUUGAGAGCUCUUUCUUGAUUUUGUGGGUGGUGGUGCAUGGCCGUUCUUAGUUGGUGGAGUGAUUUGUCUGCUUAAUUGCGAUAACGAACGAGACCU